AUUCUACCGUUUCCCCCUGUUUUGUAGAGAAAAACAUUUAAAAUUCAAUUCAGAUCCUCAUUAUCAUCGUCAGUUUAUAAAAGGAUGAGGAGG
Molecule: non-coding RNA, 93 nt
Organism: Caenorhabditis elegans
Lineage: Eukaryota; Metazoa; Nematoda; Chromadorea; Rhabditida; Rhabditidae
Source: Ensembl